RNAcentral lists this ribosomal RNA (207 nucleotides) under Triticum aestivum (bread wheat). RNAcentral's name for it is "partial small subunit ribosomal RNA". The record is from RNAcentral. Lineage: Eukaryota; Viridiplantae; Streptophyta; Magnoliopsida; Poales; Poaceae.
AUGGCAGUGGCGGCGGCGGCUGCGAUGCGGGCGGUGCUGGCGCGGCCGGGGCGCCCGGCGGAGCAGUCCGGGCGGGCGGCGGAGGCGGUGCGGGUGGUGGCGAUCAGGAAGACCAAGCCGGUGUCCCUGCUGCGGCAGCUCUACAACGGUGGCCACCGCUGCUUCGGCGAGAACUAUGUCCAGGAGUUCGUCACCAAGGCGCCGUAG